Molecule: long non-coding RNA, 967 nt
Organism: Liolophura sinensis
Lineage: Eukaryota; Metazoa; Mollusca; Polyplacophora; Chitonida; Chitonidae
Exons: 3
Source: RefSeq, a predicted model, not a curated record
GCAUAAAGAGAGUAAUAUUCGGCUUAUAGCUGAUAGUUUUCUGUAACCUACAGCGGGUGCAGACGUGAAACUGUGUGCAACGGCUCCAAAACAAUGGGCGGACCCACCUCAACACGAAUGGCCCGAGCUCAAAGGAAGGACGUAUGAGGAGGCAGUGCAGUUCUUAGCGCAGAAUCACCCAGGCUUGGAGCCUAUUCGUAUUCCGGAAGGGUCCCCGGUCACCCGAGACUUCAGGUUCGAAAGGGUGCGAAUCUUCGUAAAUCAGGAUGGUGUCAUCGUUGACGUUCCCCGGACUGGUUAAUUGGGCGACAGAUGCAACUAACUACUGACCAUGAGCAAGUGGAUGUGGCACGCAAAGAACUUUACUAAAGAAAAUCUGGAACACCUGGAAUCAGUAUAUUUUCAGACUAAAGAACUCUGUGUAGGCAGAGUUACAAAGUUUUUUUUAUCAACUCAGCUUUACAACGGUACUUUCUGGAAUUCCAUCUCGUUUUGGAUUUAUCAGUGCUGUUAUUGUUUUCUUUGUCCACCUCGAUCUGCAGAUUAGUAUAUAUAUGUGCAUAUACCGAUUGUAACUGCUCACACAGAGAUUGGCCGAUAGAAAGUUUAACUACAGGCACACUGUUAUGUCUCAUUCAUAUCUGUUCUGCUGAAAAAAAAACUCAUAAAUACAUAUACAAAAGGAAUAUUUUUUAUCCAUAUUAGUAAUAUCUUAAGGUUGAAUUUUGAGUUCCGCCACUAUUAUAGAAACUGUUUUCAAACAAGAGGGUGGAAGUAGCUACAACGGAUGCCCUUCUUGGGAGGGUACAGAAAUUAUUUGUGACCCAACCUUCUUCUAGCACAGAUUUAUUAUCCGUCACCUUUAUAGGUCUCAAGUUUUGGGCCAUAAAAUGCGAUGUUUGGCAUACCAAGUCUUUACUGGUGGUAAUAAACGCGCGUGAAUCUAUGCAGUGAAUACUGUUGGCAA